RNAcentral lists this ribosomal RNA (380 nucleotides) under uncultured Allobrachymonas sp. RNAcentral's name for it is "bacterial SSU rRNA". It matches the Rfam family "Bacterial small subunit ribosomal RNA", at positions 997 to 1382 of the family's 1533-position model. Lineage: Bacteria; Pseudomonadati; Pseudomonadota; Betaproteobacteria; Burkholderiales; Comamonadaceae. The record is from RNAcentral.
CCUGAAGAGAUUGGGAGUGCUCGAAAGAGAACCUGCACACAGGUGCUGCAUGGCUGUCGUCAGCUCGUGUCGUGAGAUGUUGGGUUAAGUCCCGCAACGAGCGCAACCCUUGCCAUUAGUUGCUACGAAAGGGCACUCUAAUGGGACUGCCGGUGACAAACCGGAGGAAGGUGGGGAUGACGUCAAGUCCUCAUGGCCCUUAUAGGUGGGGCUACACACGUCAUACAAUGGCCGGUACAGAGGGUAGCCAACCCGCGAGGGGGAGCCAAUCCCACAAAGCCGGUCGUAGUCCGGAUCGCAGUCUGCAACUCGACUGCGUGAAGUCGGAAUCGCUAGUAAUCGCGGAUCAGCAUGUCGCGGUGAAUACGUUCCCGGGCCUU